Molecule: ribosomal RNA, 764 nt
Filed under: Klebsiella pneumoniae IS46
Lineage: Bacteria; Pseudomonadati; Pseudomonadota; Gammaproteobacteria; Enterobacterales; Enterobacteriaceae
Description: SSU rRNA
Rfam family: Bacterial small subunit ribosomal RNA
Source: RNAcentral
UUAAAUUGAAGAGUUUGAUCAUGGCUCAGAUUGAACGCUGGCGGCAGGCCUAACACAUGCAAGUCGAGCGGUAGCACAGAGAGCUUGCUCUCGGGUGACGAGCGGCGGACGGGUGAGUAAUGUCUGGGAAACUGCCUGAUGGAGGGGGAUAACUACUGGAAACGGUAGCUAAUACCGCAUAAUGUCGCAAGACCAAAGUGGGGGACCUUCGGGCCUCAUGCCAUCAGAUGUGCCCAGAUGGGAUUAGCUAGUAGGUGGGGUAACGGCUCACCUAGGCGACGAUCCCUAGCUGGUCUGAGAGGAUGACCAGCCACACUGGAACUGAGACACGGUCCAGACUCCUACGGGAGGCAGCAGUGGGGAAUAUUGCACAAUGGGCGCAAGCCUGAUGCAGCCAUGCCGCGUGUGUGAAGAAGGCCUUCGGGUUGUAAAGCACUUUCAGCGGGGAGGAAGGCGGUGAGGUUAAUAACCUCACCGAUUGACGUUACCCGCAGAAGAAGCACCGGCUAACUCCGUGCCAGCAGCCGCGGUAAUACGGAGGGUGCAAGCGUUAAUCGGAAUUACUGGGCGUAAAGCGCACGCAGGCGGUCUGUCAAGUCGGAUGUGAAAUCCCCGGGCUCAACCUGGGAACUGCAUUCGAAACUGGCAGGCUAGAGUCUUGUAGAGGGGGGUAGAAUUCCAGGUGUAGCGGUGAAAUGCGUAGAGAUCUGGAGGAAUACCGGUGGCGAAGGCGGCCCCCUGGACAAAGACUGACGCUCAGGUGC